AUGAACGCUGGCGGCGUGCUUAACACAUGCAAGUCGAACGGAAAGGCUCCUGCUUGCAGGGGUACUCGAGUGGCGAACGGGUGAGUAACACGUGGGUGAUCUGCCCUUCACUUCGGGAUAAGCCUGGGAAACUGGGUCUAAUACCGGAUAGGACGAUGGUUUGGAUGCCAUUGUGGAAAGUUUUUCGGUGUGGGAUGAGCUCGCGGCCUAUCAGCUUGUUGGUGGGGUAAUGGCCUACCAAGGCGUCGACGGGUAGCCGGCCUGAGAGGGUGUACGGCCACAUUGGGACUGAGAUACGGCCCAGACUCCUACGGGAGGCAGCAGUGGGGAAUAUUGCACAAUGGGCGCAAGCCUGAUGCAGCGACGCCGCGUGGGGGAUGACGGCCUUCGGGUUGUAAACUCCUUUCGCUAGGGACGAAGCGCAAGUGACGGUACCUGGAGAAGAAGCACCGGCUAACUACGUG
This 464-nucleotide ribosomal RNA is filed under the name uncultured bacterium. RNAcentral describes it as "partial 16S ribosomal RNA". It matches the Rfam family "Bacterial small subunit ribosomal RNA", at positions 29 to 507 of the family's 1533-position model. The record is from RNAcentral.